This 584-nucleotide long non-coding RNA is filed under the name Heterocephalus glaber (naked mole-rat). Its description in RNAcentral is "lncRNA (ENSHGLG00000033734.1)". The record is from RNAcentral. Lineage: Eukaryota; Metazoa; Chordata; Mammalia; Rodentia; Bathyergidae.
GAAUGGUCUCUGGGAGAUGGCAGCAAGGAGGGUUUCAGUCCCGCCUCACUCCACCCUACCCUGGACAGAGUGACUCAGCACUUCCUAUUAUUAUGAAGGCCAACCCCAAGAGGCCCUACCAAGGCUGACUGAGGCGCCAGCAACUGUUCUCCUCCUGGCUCCUGGUUCAUUCUAGGUCUGUAAAGCAAAAGGUUGUCUCAGAAGGGGUGUGUGGAACUCAUUCUAGUGUUUGAGGUGCCUUUACUACUUUUGAUUUUUUUUUUUUUACUUGAGCCAACAUCUGGAACUGGUCAGGCUUUGGGUUGAUGCCAGAUGCUCUAUCUGAUAGGAUUGUCUCAUGAUAAUUAACGUUUAUUGGUGAUCGUUGGGCGCCUGACAUUGUGUGAAGAACUUUAUGAGGACAUCUUAUGUAACUCUCAGAAGCUGACCGCAAGCCCUGGUCGCUCAUGUAGCACAGUGCCUGAAGUAGAGGAUUCUCCCAGCAUGCUCCUUCAUGUAGUGUCCUGCAUUCCCUGUGGUGGCCAGAAAUCUGCUUCCAUUAAGAGGACAUGAAGGGAGCCGAGCGAGCCCAGGGCUAUGCCAGG